GACGAACCGUCCUAACGUUGUUCGGAAUCACUGGGCUUAAAGGGCGCGUAGGCGGGUUCCCAAGUCGGUGGUGAAAUCUUUCGGCCCAACCGGAAAACAGCCGCCGAUACUGGGAGUCUUGAGGGAGGUAGGGGUCGAUGGAACUUCCGGUGGAGCGGUGAAAUGCGUAGAUAUCGGAAGGAACACCAGUGGCGAAGGCGGCUACCUGGCCUAAUACUGACACUGAGGCACGAAAGCGUGGGGAGCAAACAGG
RNAcentral lists this ribosomal RNA (253 nucleotides) under uncultured bacterium. Its description in RNAcentral is "partial 16S ribosomal RNA". It matches the Rfam family "Bacterial small subunit ribosomal RNA", at positions 524 to 776 of the family's 1533-position model. The record is from RNAcentral.